Molecule: non-coding RNA, 1327 nt
Organism: Heterocephalus glaber (naked mole-rat)
Lineage: Eukaryota; Metazoa; Chordata; Mammalia; Rodentia; Bathyergidae
Source: RefSeq, a predicted model, not a curated record
UAUCCAGUCUCCAGUUGAUGGGCAAUUGAGCUGUUUCCAAGUUUUAGAAAGCACACUCUUUUUACUUAGACUUGUUUUCCUAUUUCCUGCAGCACCUUGUUGUGUAGUUUGGAGCAACUUUAUCUCUUUGAAGCUCAGUUUAUCUAUCUGUUCAAGGAGGUUGGUAAAACCAACCCAGAAUGUUGUGAGGAUUGGGUGACAUAAGGUGAAAAGUGCUUAGCAUGGUUUCUUGGACACAAUAAGUGUUUAGUAAGUCAGAGCAUGGUGACAGGGGAGUCACAUAUGGCAUGGGGAGUGUCUUGCACUACCAGUGUCCUCCUCUAGAUGGGAGCAGGAGCCAAAGAAAAGGCCCUUGGGUUGUUCCCAGUGGGCUGUGAGCUUCAGGUCCCCAGCGACACCACAGCCUGGUGAUAGAACAAGCAAGGUCAGUGAGGUCAGGCAGGAGGGUUUCUGGGCUGGGAAACCCUCUGGGGUCAUUCAGCACAGGUCCAGGGGGAGAGAGAGAGAAAGAGUGGGGUCAUGAGGGGUGAUGAAGUGAACAGGCAUCCAGGAGCAGUGGGGACACUGUCCCUUUUAGAACAGAAAGCUGUCCCUGCUCUGGCUCGUGGGUCUGGCUUUUGAAGCUCAUUCAUCUGGCAGCUGGCAGAGUAGAUGGGAGGCUGUGUGUGAUGUCACAGAGCUGGGAACCAGGGAAUGUUGGGGACAGAGGAGCCUGGACUGGACCAUAAAUGUCAGAAGGAGGUGGGAUCUCUCAUGACCUUCUCCUCAGUGGCCCUUCCCUCUGUCCCCCAUGUCUGUCAGGUUGGCUGGGGUGGUUUUACUUCAUGUGUCUCUCAUCCUUCUUGGAUUAUCAGGGCAGCUAGGCCAUGUUCUUCUCAGGAGGGUGCCAGAGGCAAGAGAGGGAGCCUCACCAGGAAAAUCAUGUCUGCUGGAGUCUCAUGUGUUAAGUUUCUAUUGGCCAAGCAAUGCAUGAUGGAGCCCAGAGGAAUGAAUAUACGCUUCACCCAAGAAGAUAUGGCAGAGAAGAUUUGGGGCCAAUACUUUGCUAUGCCACAGAGUCUCAAUGAGUAGAAUCCUUCCUGGGGCUGGAACUACUGACAGGUGGAACAGACUGCUGAGGAUUAUAAGUUGGACCAUCAAGGUGUGGGUACAAGCUAAUAUGAACAGUGAAUUUCAGAAAGCCAUCAAUAUAUUCUCCGGUUCCCCACUGGGAAGGAAAAAUUUUGAGGCUGAUAUUGUAGAGAUGGGAAAAUUUAAUAUGACUCAAACUGAUAUCGACAGAACACCAGUGUAGCUCCAACUCCAGCUCUACACAGUGGAAAGAAAU